This 302-nucleotide ribosomal RNA is filed under the name uncultured bacterium. Its description in RNAcentral is "partial 16S ribosomal RNA". It matches the Rfam family "Bacterial small subunit ribosomal RNA", at positions 508 to 809 of the family's 1533-position model. The record is from RNAcentral.
GCAGUAGCCACGGGAAUACGGAGGGUGCAAGCGUUAUCCGGAUUUAUUGGGUUUAAAGGGUCCGUAGGCGGAUCUGUAAGUCAGUGGUGAAAUCUCACAGCUUAACUGUGAAACUGCCAUUGAUACUGCAGGUCUUGAGUAAAUUUGAAGUGGCUGGAAUAAGUAGUGUAGCGGUGAAAUGCAUAGAUAUUACUUAGAACACCAAUUGCGAAGGCAGGUCACUAAGAUUUAACUGACGCUGAUGGACGAAAGCGUGGGGAGCGAACAGGAUUAGAUACCCGGGUAGUCCCUGUCUCUUAUAA